UGCAGCGACGCCGCGUGAUGAUGAAGGCCUUCGGGUUGUAAAGUUCUGUCCUUGGUGAAGAUAAUGACUGUAACCAAGAAGCAAGCCCUGGCUAAAUACGUGCCAGCAGCCGCGGUAAUACGUAUGGGGCAAGCGUUGUCCGGAAUUAUUGGGCGUAAAGGGUACGUAGGCGGUUUACUAAGUCUGAAUUAAAAGGCAGUGGCUCAACCAUUGUAAGGUUUAGAUACUGGUAAACUUGAGUAGAUGAGGGGAAAGUGGAAUUCCAUGUGUAGCGGUGAAAUGCGUAGAUAUAUGGAGGAACACCUGUGGCGAAGGCGACUUUCUGGAAUCUAACUGACGCUGAGGUACGAAGGCGUGGGGAGCAAACA
Molecule: ribosomal RNA, 368 nt
Filed under: Finegoldia magna
Lineage: Bacteria; Bacillati; Bacillota; Tissierellia; Tissierellales; Peptoniphilaceae
Description: bacterial SSU rRNA
Rfam family: Bacterial small subunit ribosomal RNA
Source: RNAcentral